Long non-coding RNA from Protopterus annectens (West African lungfish), 1863 nucleotides. RefSeq lists it as uncharacterized. The record is from RefSeq and is a predicted model, not a curated record. Lineage: Eukaryota; Metazoa; Chordata; Ceratodontiformes; Protopteridae. The transcript is spliced from 3 exons.
AAUAUAGUGUUUUUAUAUAAAUGCAACUUCUACAAAGAAAACAUUACAUUUCACAGUAUGUGUUAAUUGGAAUUACAGAUAGUCUAAAGAAAUGGGCAAGACAUUAAACCUCUACAGAGAUGUACAAAAGCAAGGUCAUACCCAACAAGAAGGAUGUUUCACACCUCCUGGACCUUGAAUUCCAAGCAAGACAUGCCUUCAUGGACUCUGAUGUUACUAAGGGGCAGGACAAGCCUACCAAGAUUCUUCAAGCAUAUCCUUGCUUCAGGGAACUGGAUCAUAUAAGCAAAUGUGCUCAUUUUAAGUAGAUCUAUAUGUAACCAAAUUCUAAAUGAGACAUGGUGUAGCAAUAUCAGCUGAGUCACAAUAAUGAAUGCAGAAUGAAAGAUGCAAAAUGCAUUAUUUUUGAAUACCCACAAAAAUAUUAAAACUUUUGAUCUUUUCUGGCUAGUCCUUACUUACCCAGCUUUAACUUUUAUAUAUGUUUGACACUGCACAGUCUCUCUCUCUCUCUCUCUGGCUGUGUAUGUCAGCUUAUGGAUUAGCUCUGAAGGAUCCUUGAUAGAGGGAACUCCUGUGUAACUGAUCUGCAGACCUGCUGAGGUACCUUUUUAUGAGAAGGCACAGUUUUAUGCAGUAUUCAGAAAGCUCAUAAAGCCAUUGUUGCUGGACAAAGUGAAGCACACAAUUGCCUUGAUGAAGGCAUUACCAGAUAUCUUCUCAUCACCUGUGGCUCUACCCAAGAAGUUGCAUUCAAGUGAGGUUAUGCUGCACAUCCUUGAGUGUAAAGAAGACCCCAACAUGUUUCUCCAGACAAGGCCAUUCUUCAGCCUGUUGUGACUGUCUGUGAAAUCAACUGCUUACUGGCUAUUGGAGCCAUGCCUUUGAUGACCUUCCCAAAAGAGGACAUUUAUGAAAGUGUGAUGUAGUUCAUGGCAUGUUAUUACACCUUUCACCUUACAUAUCCUAAGUGCAUUGUGAUACUUCUCUCUGUGCUGCAGACUGAAGUACCGUCAGAUGCCAUCCAUAACCGUGACAUGACCUCUUCAUAUAGAAAAGCUAUGGCUGAGUGGAAAAAGUUCCUUGCUGACUAGAAAUGCACAGAACCUUUUUUUUUCAUUCCUGGUAGUGACUGUGUCCCUUGCAGUGCAAGACAUAAACUUCAAAUUUGAUUUCAUCUUUGUUUGGCAGGUUGUUGCUUUAGUUUGCUGCUUGUCUAUUCAUAAGGUCACUACAUUUGAUAUAUUGCAUAUGCUGACAUUCUAAUUAUCACAGUGAGCAAUGGCCUUGUUUUUGCAUAUUGUUCUGCCAUACAUGUCUCUGGAUAAAGACUUAUUUAAGCAGUCAGUUUAUAGUAUACUAUACUUUUUUCUGUAAAUUCCAGGGUAUUUUGUCUCAUUUCAAGACAUUUAAACAAGCACUGAAUGUUAAAUUCAAGCAGAAUUUCCUAAAUUUUUACACAAAAGGGCUUAUCUUUUGUUUUGCAUCUAAAAACAAUACUUGGUUUUAGUCUGGUAGCAAUAGUUUUAAGAUAUAAUUCCUAAAAAAUGCUUCAAAACAAUGGCUAUCACUUUCUAAAUUAAAGCAACAUUUCCUACAUCUUCAUUCAGUCUGAAUGCACUAGUUUUAAGAUGCCCAUGGGGGGCUGGAGGCUAUAAAUAUUUACUUGUCUUGGCAAGUGAAAUUUUUCUGUUCUGUUGGCAGAUAAUUUUGCUUAUUUUAAGUAAUAUUUACAUCAUUUUCUAUUUUUUUACUGGUUUUUGAGACUGAGUUUUUGCAGUGUACCUUUAAGAAGGCAUCCAAGGGCUUGUGUAAGUGUAUAAAUACUGAGCACAUGCAAGCUACACUGCCAUUUUGUAGUAA